Molecule: ribosomal RNA, 440 nt
Filed under: uncultured bacterium
Lineage: Bacteria
Description: partial 16S ribosomal RNA
Rfam family: Bacterial small subunit ribosomal RNA
Source: RNAcentral
CCUACGGGAGGCAGCAGUGGGGGAUAUUGCACAAUGGGGGGAACCCUGAUGCAGCGACGCCGCGUGGGUGAAGACGCGCCUCGGCGUGUAAAGCUCUGUCAGCAGGGAAGAAAAUGACGGUACCUGUAGAAGAAGCCCCGGCUAAUUACGUGCCAGCAGCCGCGGUAAUACGUAGGGGGCAAGCGUUAUCCGGAGUUACUGGGUGUAAAGGGGGCGCAGACGGCGAUGCAAGCCAGGAGUGAAAGCCCGGGGCCCAACCCCGGGCCUGCUCUUGGAAAUGCGUGGCUGGAGUGCAGGAGGGGAAGGCGGAAUUCCUGGGGUAGCGGUGAAAUGCGUAGAUAGCAGGAGGAACACCGGUGGCGAAGGCGGCCUGCUGGACUGCAACUGACGUUGAGGCCCGAAAGCGUGGGGAGCAAACAGGAUUAGAUACCCCAGUAGUC